This 344-nucleotide unclassified non-coding RNA is filed under the name soil metagenome. RNAcentral describes it as "partial contains 5.8S ribosomal RNA, internal transcribed spacer 2, and large subunit ribosomal RNA". The stretch from base 1 to 120 matches the Rfam family "5.8S ribosomal RNA", at positions 35 to 154 of the family's 154-position model. The record is from RNAcentral.
GAUGAAGAACGCAGCGAAAUGCGAUAAGUAAUGUGAAUUGCAGAAUUCAGUGAAUCAUCGAGUCUUUGAACGCACAUUGCGCCCCCUGGUAUUCCGGGGGGCAUGCCUGUCCGAGCGUCAUUGCUGCCCUCAAGCACGGCUUGUGUGUUGGGCUCCGCCCCCCUCCCGGGGGGCGGGCCCGAAAGGCAGCGGCGGCACCGCGUCCGGUCCUCGAGCGUAUGGGGCUUUGUCACCCGCUCUGUAGGCCCGGCCGGCGCCCGCCGGCGACCCCAAUCAAUCUUUCCAGGUUGACCUCGGAUCAGGUAGGGAUACCCGCUGAACUUAAGCAUAUCAAUAACGGAGGA